GAGUAAGACUCCUGGAGACAGAGGUCUUCUUGUUGUCAAGAGGACAGGGACAGCAGCAGGUGCAGCAGCAGUGCUGGCUUCCCCACAGUGCCCUCCCAUAGUGCACCAACAAGGACCUACGGCAGGAGGGUGUUUCUGUCUCCAUGUCCAUUCUCUCCUUGGCCUCU
This is an unclassified non-coding RNA of Chrysemys picta bellii (western painted turtle), 167 nucleotides long. Lineage: Eukaryota; Metazoa; Chordata; Testudines; Emydidae. The record is from Ensembl.